GCUUGCAGUGAGCCGAGAUUGCGUCACCGCACUCCAGCCUGGGCGACAGAGCGAGACUCCGUCUCAAAAAAAAUGACUGGACAAAAAACACUCUGAUGCAAACAGGCAAGAAACCCAGCAAGGCCUAUCUGGAUUCUCCUUGGCCUGUCUGCAGCAUUCAUUCCUUCUGGGUAUGGAACAGGACCCUCUGGAAUGGGGGCUGUGGCCUACAACAGUUAAACAAGUGAACUAAAGGGCUCCCAAAAUCUCUCCUGCAGCAUUUUCCUUGAGAAGGAGGAAGGUUUGCAUCUCUGUGAGAAGAAACAUCAGAAGCAGUUGAAAGACCAGGAUGUGGGUCCUCUGGGGCUGAGGAGGCAUUCUGAAUCAACUGUGUGUUCUACACCUGUGUUUUAACUGUGACCUGUCACAUGAGGACAAGUGUGGAAUUUCCCACUUUUGUGCCAUAAAUCUCUCUCUGGGAACAGUGUGGAAGAUGGAUUGAAAUGGUGUAAAAUUGAAGAUGUGGACUCCGGUUGGGAGACUACACCCUAGAUAAGAUGAAGAGAACUUGAAGCAAGACAAUAGCAAUGGGAAUAUAAAGGAGAGGAGACAUUUGAGUGAAAUUAAGGAAGCACAAUCUGCAGACUGUUUUCUUUUUUUUAAGAGUCAGGGUCUCCCUAUUUUGCCCAGGCUGGUCUCAAAGUCCUAGGCUCAAGCGACCCACCCACCUCAGCCUUCCAAAAUGCUGGAAUUACAGGGGUGAACUGCCUCACCAUGCCUCAGUCUGCAGAAUUUGAUGACUGAAUGUAUUUGGAGAGAGUCUGUGGCUUGGAUGACUGGAGACGGAGUUUCUCCAUUUUGGCCAGUUUGGUGUCGAC
This 857-nucleotide long non-coding RNA is filed under the name Homo sapiens (human). RNAcentral describes it as "HSALNT0332861". Lineage: Eukaryota; Metazoa; Chordata; Mammalia; Primates; Hominidae. The record is from RNAcentral.